RNAcentral lists this transfer RNA (75 nucleotides) under Laonastes aenigmamus (Laotian rock rat). RNAcentral's name for it is "tRNA-Leu". It matches the Rfam family "tRNA". From Rfam's summary of the family: Transfer RNA (tRNA) molecules are approximately 80 nucleotides in length. Their secondary structure includes four short double-helical elements and three loops (D, anti-codon, and T loops). The record is from RNAcentral. Lineage: Eukaryota; Metazoa; Chordata; Mammalia; Rodentia; Laonastidae.
GUUAAGGUGGCAGAGCCCGGUAAUUGCAUGAGACUUAAGCCCUUAUCACCAGAGGUUCAACUCCUCUCCUUAACA